RNAcentral lists this ribosomal RNA (254 nucleotides) under uncultured bacterium. RNAcentral's name for it is "partial 16S ribosomal RNA". It matches the Rfam family "Bacterial small subunit ribosomal RNA", at positions 524 to 776 of the family's 1533-position model. The record is from RNAcentral.
UACAGAGGGGGCAAGCGUUAUUCGGAAUUAUUGGGCGUAAAGGGCGCGUAGGCGGCGAUUCAAGUGACGGGUGAAAUCCCUCGGCUUAACCGAGGAACUGCCUGUCAGACUGGAUUGCUUGAGGCCGGGAGAGGCGAGUGGAAUUCCCAGUGUAGCGGUGAAAUGCGUAGAUAUUUGGGAGGAACACCAGUGGCGAAGGCGGCUCGCUGGACCGGUUCUGACGCUGAGGCGCGAAAGCGUGGGGAGCAAACAGG